AAUCCAUAGGUUAAUGAGGCGAACCGGGGGAACUGAAACAUCUAAGUACCCCGAGGAAAAGAAAUCAACCGAGAUUCCCCCAGUAGCGGCGAGCGAACGGGGAGGAGCCCAGAGCCUGAAUCAGCAUGUGUGUUAGUGGAAGCGUCUGGAAAGGCGCGCGAUACAGGGUGACAGCCCCGUACACAAAAGCGCAUGUGCUGUGAGCUCGAUGAGUAGGGCGGGACACGUGGUAUCCUGUCUGAAUAUGGGGGGACCAUCCUCCAAGGCUAAAUACUCCUGACUGACCGAUAGUGAACCAGUACCGUGAGGGAAAGGCGAAAAGAACCCCGGCGAGGGGAGUGAAAAAGAACCUGAAACCGUGUACGUACAAGCAGUGGGAGCACCCUUUGGGUG
Molecule: ribosomal RNA, 393 nt
Filed under: Salmonella enterica
Lineage: Bacteria; Pseudomonadati; Pseudomonadota; Gammaproteobacteria; Enterobacterales; Enterobacteriaceae
Also listed under: 1 other name
Description: partial 23S ribosomal RNA
Rfam family: Bacterial large subunit ribosomal RNA
Source: RNAcentral